GUUUCAGUUCUCUGGAAUCAUUUCUGACAUAGAGAUCUCAAUCGUCAUCUUCAACAUCACAUAAACAUCUUUUUCGUCUCUCAACAUACUUCUGUUUGCAAACAGUUGGAGAAAUCCCUGUGACGUCUUCCAUAUCACUAUAUCUUUGAUGUUGCAAUAUGCUACAAUAUCCCAUUAUGGUAUUGUCGUUUACGCUUUGAGGCUUUGAUGGUUU
Non-coding RNA from Pelobates cultripes (western spadefoot toad), 214 nucleotides. NCBI's taxonomy places the organism in Eukaryota, Metazoa, Chordata, Amphibia, Anura, Pelobatidae. The record is from the annotation of a GenBank genome assembly.